GAACGCGCGCGGGAGAGACCGCCCAUCGUUUAAGGGCGGCACCGAAGGAGCAAGCUGCAGGUAGGCACAUGCAGGCAGCUAAUCUCUCAGGUACAAGGAACCGCCGCGGGACG
This 113-nucleotide non-coding RNA is filed under the name Paenibacillus rhizosphaerae. RNAcentral's name for it is "Glycine sequence". It matches the Rfam family "Glycine riboswitch aptamer". From Rfam's summary of the family: This family represents the bacterial glycine riboswitch. Glycine riboswitches usually consist of two metabolite-binding aptamers domains with similar structures in tandem. Lineage: Bacteria; Bacillati; Bacillota; Bacilli; Caryophanales; Paenibacillaceae. The record is from Rfam by way of RNAcentral.